Molecule: ribosomal RNA, 253 nt
Filed under: uncultured bacterium
Lineage: Bacteria
Description: partial 16S ribosomal RNA
Rfam family: Bacterial small subunit ribosomal RNA
Source: RNAcentral
UACGUAGGGACCGAGCGUUGUCCGGAAUCAUUGGGCGUAAAGAGCGUGUAGGCGGCCACUUAAGUCCUGCGUGAAAUCUUGCGGCUCAACCGCAAGCGGUCGUGGGAAACUGGGUGGCUAGAGUGCGGGAGAGGAGAGUGGAAUUCCUGGUGUAGCGGUGAAAUGCGCAGAUAUCAGGAGGAACACCGAUGGCGAAGGCAGCUCGCUGGGACGGUACUGACGCUGAGGCGCGAAAGCGUGGGGAGCAAACAGG